UGGCGUGGGGGAGCAAACAGGAUUAGAUACCCUGGUAGUCCACGCCGUAAACGAUGUCGACUUGGAGGUUGUGCCCUUGAGGCGUGGCUUCCGGAGCUAACGCGUUAAGUCGACCGCCUGGGGAGUACGGCCGCAAGGUUAAAACUCAAAUGAAUUGACGGGGGCCCGCACAAGCGGUGGAGCAUGUGGUUUAAUUCGAUGCAACGCGAAGAACCUUACCUGGUCUUGACAUCCACNGAANNUUNNAGAGAUNNGANNGUGCCUUCGGGAACNGUGAGACAGGUGCUGCAUGGCUGUCGUCAGCUCGUGUUGUGAAAUGUUGGGUUAAGUCCCGCAACGAGCGCAACCCUUAUCCUUUGUUGCCAGCGGUCCGGCCGGGAACUCAAAGGAGACUGCCAGUGAUAAACUGGAGGAAGGUGGGGAUGACGUCAAGUCAUCAUGGCCCUUACGACCAGGGCUACACACGUGCUACAAUGGCGCAUACAAAGAGAAGCGACCUCGCGAGAGCAAGCGGACCUCAUAAAGUGCGUCGUAGUCCGGAUUGGAGUCUGCAACUCGACUCCAUGAAGUCGGAAUCGCUAGUAAUCGUGGAUCAGAAUGCCACGGUGAAUACGUUCCCGGGCCUUGUACACACCGCCCGUCACACCAUGGGAGUGGGUUGCAAAAGAAGUAGGUAGCUUAACCUUCGGGAGGGCGCUUACCACUUUGUGAUUCAUGACUGGGUAA
RNAcentral lists this ribosomal RNA (726 nucleotides) under Pantoea agglomerans. RNAcentral's name for it is "bacterial SSU rRNA". It matches the Rfam family "Bacterial small subunit ribosomal RNA", at positions 755 to 1483 of the family's 1533-position model. The record is from RNAcentral. Lineage: Bacteria; Pseudomonadati; Pseudomonadota; Gammaproteobacteria; Enterobacterales; Erwiniaceae.